Long non-coding RNA from Oryza sativa Japonica Group (Japanese rice), 1834 nucleotides. RefSeq lists it as uncharacterized. NCBI's taxonomy places the organism in Eukaryota, Viridiplantae, Streptophyta, Magnoliopsida, Poales, Poaceae. The record is from RefSeq and is a predicted model, not a curated record.
UUUGAUGUGAUGGAUUUUUUAAAGUUUGAAGGGAAUUAAACACAUCCUUAGUUUUAAGUUACGAAGCCCACUUCUUUCAUAUGUGGCAGCGCGUUUUGCUUUUGUCGACUAAAUCUACCAUAUAAUUCACCAACUCAUUUUACUUAUCAUUCACUCCUACUCUUACAUUCAUCACUCAACGGUUCAGAUCGUCCGUGUAAAAUCGAACGAUGGAGAUCGAUCCAACCUCCCCCCUCCCGGAAUCGCUGAUUCCACCUCCCACCUCCUGAAUCGCGCACGCCCCACUAUCUCUCUUGCUCUCCCAGAUCCACGUCUCCUCUCCGCCCCUAACCACGCCGCUGCCCUAAUCGCCGCCUGCCGCAUGCCGCCGCCUUAGAUCCUCCGUCGUCAAGGGCGCCGGCUCGCCGUGGUCUCCAUUGCCGCCCUCAUCUCUCCCCUGUCGCCGCCUACUGUGAGUCCUCGACGAAGGUGAAGCGGUGGCGCGGUGAUCUCCGGUGAAAUCGACGCGCAACGCCGCAAUUCGUUUCUGACUGAGGUGGCGCAGUGGCUGGAGCGAAAGGCGCCUCGCCGGCAUGACGUGGACUGCAGCGGAUCUUCGGCAACAUCACAGCGCCAUUGCUCCAUCUUCCAUCGGCAAUUGUGCUCCUCGUUGGCAAGUGGCGGCUUGAACAGUAGCAUGGCGCUCCCCGGCGACCGAUCUGUGUGGCAGCUCUAACGAUCUUUGUGCUCCCCUGUUGUGCUGCUAAUCUCCAUUGAGAUCAGUCAAUAGUAGGGAAUCUCUCCUAUGUGGUCAAGGGUGCUGGCUUGCUGGGGUCUCCGUCACCCUGACAUCAGGUUGCCGUCGAUCCAUCGCCUUCAUAUUUUGUUGGCUUCCCAGAUUGCCAAUUCCUGUCCUAGAUUGUUGGUAGUUUGUCUACUGAGGAUUCUGUACUGGAAAACAUGUCAGGGCAGUGUGGCGUUGUGCUGUCUGUGAAUACAUGUUUCUUUGAGAGGGAGGAGCAUGAGAGAGAACGCCAGAUUUUUUUGGCAUUCUCAACUAGAAUGAGAAAUAUGAAUACACUGUUCGAAUUUUGGAAGAUGUGAAUCUGCCAAGAUGUUUGCCAAGCUCUACAUACACCAUUUGUUUGCUAAGGUGUUUUCAGUAAAAUUCCUUUGGGCAACUGUGACAAUGGUAAAUCAAGAAAAUGAUGGUUGCAACUUACAAGGAUCGGUUUUGGUAGGACCACCAAGUUGCCUAGGAUUUUCGGGUAAGGAUUAUUUGUUGUUCUGAUGCGGAUCAUGGAAAUCGUGUGAAAAAUUAUCCAGAUUCUGGUCUUGAAUUAUACUUGCCAAAACUGACAAGAUUAUAUGAAUAUCUAUAAAAAUAACUCUACUGUUUCUUUUUGUGUGGACAUAUAUUGUAUAUUGAAGUGAUAAUAUAUAAUUGUCGAUGGUCAUGGAUUAUUAUUUUCAUAUAGUAAUAAUAUCAGGUAUGCUGAUUUAGAAAGCUUUUGGUCUAGAAUAUUCUGAUUUUCUCUCUUUCUAAGGCCAAGCUAUGGUAUUUUUUAUUCACCUAAGUUGCAAAUUGUAAUGAGUUUUAUUUCUAUACAUCCAAAUGAAAAUAAUACUUCCUCCGUUGAAGCAAGCAUGUGAUAUAGAGAUUGUAUCAAGCAGCCAAAAUAUCAUGUGCUCGUCAUGGAAGGCGGUCGGAGUCGGAGAAAAGAAGUGGACCAGUUAAUAUAACAUCUCUAGGCAUUUUGCUUUUUAGUUGUUGUUUGCUAGCAUAAUUACUUUUUGUAUUUUGUUGUUUUCUAGAUGUUUCGAAAUUUUGAUGAACGAUUUCGGUCGCGACUUA